AAUAGUAUACAGUGAAACUGCGAAUGGCUCAUUAAAACAGUUAUAGUUUAUUUGAUAGUUGAAUGCUACAUGGAUAACCGUGGUAAUUCUAGAGCUAAUACAUGCUUAAAAACCUGACUUCUUGAAAGGUUGUAUUUAUUAGAUUACAAACCAAUAUUCCUUCGGGUCUAUUGUGAUGAUUCAUAAUAACUGAUCGGAGCGAACGCAGUUCGCUAAAUCAUUCAAGUUUCUGCCCUAUCAGCUUUCGAAGGUAGUGUAUUGGACUACCUUGGCAGUCACGGGUAACGGGGAAUUAGGGUUCGAUUCCGGAGAGGGAGCCUGAGAAACGGCUACCACUUCUAAGGAAGGCAGCAGGCGCGUAAAUUACCCAAUCCUGACUCAGGGAGGUAGUGACAAGAAAUAACAACUCGGGGCCUCACGGCUCACGGGAUUGCAAUGAGAACAAUUUAAAACACUUAACGAGGAACAAUUGGAGGGCAAGUCUGGUGCCAGCAGCCGCGGUAAUUCCAGCUCCAAUAGCGUAUAUUAAAGUUGUUGCAGUUAAAAAGCUCGUAGUUGAACUUCUGGCGGUUGGUGUUGCUGGCUUCGGUCGCUUCAUUGGCAGUCAUCCGCUUGGGAACCCCGUUCGGUCUUCAUUGGUCGGCGGGAGGAUCAGGCAUUUUACUUUGAAAAAAUUAGAGUGUUCAAGGCAGGCAAUCGCCAUGAAUACACAAGCAUGGAAUAAUGGAAUAGGACUGAUAGUCAUUUUAUUGGUUAUUGACUGUUA
Molecule: ribosomal RNA, 766 nt
Filed under: uncultured eukaryote
Lineage: Eukaryota
Description: SSU rRNA
Rfam family: Eukaryotic small subunit ribosomal RNA
Source: RNAcentral